UUUCCUGCUCGCAAAAGACGUCCUGCGAAAAAUCGACGGGAGAGAACGACCGCGAUGAUCGAGGGUCGAGUAGGGGCUGUCUUUCUCGAGAAUCGAUCGCCACACUCUCAACGAACUCGCUUCUCUAAUUAUAUUCUCUAAUUAUUCUUCAAAUAACUUGGACAUAAUUAUUUAUAGAUCUGACGCGCGCGCGCCUCUGGUUACUUAAAGUCGAGAAAGUAGAGAUGUCGUUCGUGAGAAAUCUCUCAAUUUUCUCUAAGGGAUCCGAAUCUCGAGAAAUUCAAGCAUCAUAACGUAUAAUUAAUAAGAUAGGCAAACUUCGGCGCAAAUACAUUUUCAUGAGGCUACGAGAACUUUUGUCGCACUUUAGUAUAGUGGACUUCGCAAUUCUCGGGGCUCGGUGCUUCGUGUCGUCCACGUCGGAAAUUGAUCCAAACACUUUUCCGAAAGGUGCGAACAGCCGCACCGAGGUAAGAUAGAAUAGAGUAUCCAACGUAUCAACGAGAUUGCCGAGGCAUCGGUAUCGAAUCGAGGAUCGCAGGAGACUACGGGGACGACGUCACGGGACGAACAGGAGAGAAUACUCCGAUGGAGGUUUUCCAAUAGCUUCUCGAAGAAACGCGUCGGUACCAUCGAAAGACCACUAGAUUUCGACGAGGAAACCCGACCCGCGACCCGCAACAACGACAGUCUCCUCGUGUAUCAUCGAGACGGGACGCAACGUAAUUACAGUGACACGCGACGGAUUCGCACGUGAACAAUGCGGAGCAGUGACCAAUUGCGGAGGUAGUGAACCGCGAAAGUUCAGUGACCAUAAGAGAUGUUAGUGCCAACCCGACGAGGAACCAAAGUGUACGAUCGUUCUGUAGCUAUCGGAUUGCUCGUGUACGAAAAUAGUCGGUGGAAUAUCGGACCGAAACGACGAUCGUGCCAAGGCGACAGCAGCAUCGUAUCGAUGCCUUCUCCGAGGUAUCAUCCGAGGACGAUUGACCACGCGCUGUUAAUGGCCGCGAGGAACCCGACGGAUAUUACGAGGAGGAUCUAUCGAGAAGGACGUCAAAGGGCGCGGAUUCCCGUUCGUCGCUCACAGGACGUAUUUCGUAUCUCGAGAAAAGUAUGAAGGAGCAUACACGGUCGCCUGUUGCAUGCAACGAUCUAACGUGAACGCGCGACUUCCCUGAGACAAGUCCGCGUCGACGACGCGCUCUUCUAGGUCGAAGUGAAGGCGCGCUAAAGCCGACGUCGCGACAUCGUUCUCUCCUUCUCCCCGAGGACGCACCUAUUCGCAGGCAUUCGGAGGCCGUGCGUCUUUUCGAAAUACCGAGCCUCCGCUCUUGGG
Odontomachus brunneus is the source of this 1339-nucleotide long non-coding RNA. RefSeq lists it as uncharacterized. The transcript is spliced from 2 exons. The record is from RefSeq and is a predicted model, not a curated record. Lineage: Eukaryota; Metazoa; Arthropoda; Insecta; Hymenoptera; Formicidae.